Anolis carolinensis (green anole) is the source of this 822-nucleotide long non-coding RNA. RefSeq lists it as uncharacterized. The record is from RefSeq and is a predicted model, not a curated record. The transcript is spliced from 2 exons. NCBI's taxonomy places the organism in Eukaryota, Metazoa, Chordata, Lepidosauria, Squamata, Anolidae.
AGGAGUUGGGUGCCACUGGCAAUAAUGGGAUGGAAGAUGAAUGGGGACCUUCAGGAUUAGACCCAUGGACAAGCUGGAGGGAUGGGACGGGAUCCACAGCUGGGGAUGCUGUGGGGCGUAGUCAGAGGUGUUCCAGCUCUGAUGAGGAAAGUGAUGAGGAAACGCCCGGGUUAAGGAGGGCAGCUGAUAGUGAUGAGGAUUUGUAACUGGCAUAAAAUGAGGCUUGGGAGCAAUUGCAAAUUGCGUUGGGCAAGGUAAUCUGGACGAACGCUUGGGAUCUGUGUGGGACGCUUUCCUGAAGACUGGUGUGUUUUCGUGUGCUGAUACCUUUGACCUUCCGUCGUCUUCUUGACGGACGCCAUCUGCUACUCUGGAUUUACGGACUGAAAACUGACUACGGGCUCGCUUUCUCCUAUUGAACUUGGAAAACUGCAAACGUCUGAUUCUGCCUCUCGACCUACGGAACGAACUGGGACUACGCUACUGCUUCAAUCCUUGGCUGCUGAGUUUGUAUUGGAAAUUUGCCUUGCUGUGUGAAGGAGUGACUCCUAGUUACUCAAAACAUAGUGCUGGCAGCAGAGAGGCAAUCUGCUGCCAAUUAGUUGCAUUCUUUUGAACUCUUUGUUUCCCAGCUUCUGUUUGUUUUUCCCCAGGCUGAAGCAAGCUGUUUUGAUUUUACCCGGAUUAAACUCCGGUUUAAUCCGGUUUAUCUUUUGAACGUUUUUCUUGCCCCUUUUUGUUUUUAAAGGCUAAAGUUGCCUUGCCCUUGUCUUUUACGGGCAUUUUGAGUUCUGUAAAUCCAAUAAACUCUGUUAUCUUUGA